GAUGAAGAACGUAGCGAAAUGCGAUAAGUAGUGUGAAUUGCAGAAUUCAGUGAAUCAUCGAAUCUUUGAACGCACAUUGCGCCCGCCAGUAUUCUGGCGGGCAUGCCUGUUCGAGCGUCAUUUCAACCAUCAAGCCCCGGGCUUGUGUUGGGGACCUGCGGCUGCCGCAGGCCCUGAAAAACAGUGGCGGGCUCGCUAGUCACCCCGAGCGUAGUAGUUACAUCUCGCUCAGGGCGUGCUGCGGGUUCCGGCCGUUAAACCCCUUUACCCCAAGGUUGACCUCGGAUCAGGUAGGAAGACCCGCUGAACUUAAGCAUAUCAAUAAGCGGAGGA
This 333-nucleotide unclassified non-coding RNA is filed under the name soil metagenome. Its description in RNAcentral is "partial contains 5.8S ribosomal RNA, internal transcribed spacer 2, and large subunit ribosomal RNA". The stretch from base 1 to 120 matches the Rfam family "5.8S ribosomal RNA", at positions 35 to 154 of the family's 154-position model. The record is from RNAcentral.